Molecule: ribosomal RNA, 429 nt
Filed under: Bacteroidota bacterium
Lineage: Bacteria; Pseudomonadati; Bacteroidota
Description: Bacteroidetes bacterium partial 16S ribosomal RNA
Rfam family: Bacterial small subunit ribosomal RNA
Source: RNAcentral
UAGGGAAUCUUCCGCAAUGGACGCAAGUCUGACGGAGCAACGCCGCGUGAGUGAAGAAGGAUUUCGGUUCGUAAAACUCUGUUGUUAGAGAAGAACAGCGCAUAGAGUAACUGUUAUGCGUGUGACGGUAUCUAACCAGAAAGCCACGGCUAACUACGUGCCAGCAGCCGCGGUAAUACGUAGGUGGCAAGCGUUGUCCGGAUUUAUUGGGCGUAAAGCGAGCGCAGGCGGUCAAUUAAGUCUGAUGUGAAAGCCCCCGGCUCAACCGGGGAGGGUCAUUGGAAACUGGUUGACUUGAGUGCAGAAGAGGAGAGUGGAAUUCCAUGUGUAGCGGUGAAAUGCGUAGAUAUAUGGAGGAACACCAGUGGCGAAGGCGACUCUCUGGUCUGUGACUGACGCUGAGGCUCGAAAGCGUGGGUAGCAAACAGG